Non-coding RNA from Paramuricea clavata, 230 nucleotides. The record is from the annotation of a GenBank genome assembly. Lineage: Eukaryota; Metazoa; Cnidaria; Anthozoa; Malacalcyonacea; Plexauridae.
UGCUCUUGGGUUGCAAUUUGCGAUGUGAUCUCAUUUGGCUUUACAAGCUGAGUAGGAGCAUCAAGGCCGGGAUUAUCACCAUCAUUACUCAAAACUAUAGAAAUUUAUCUCUCAGAACUUUUAUUCGACUGCAUUGAGGCGUUUAAAUUUGCAUUUUGACUGGAUUCUACAUUAGCUACCAUAGAAUUACCGCUUUCGUUUUCCUCAUUACCGGCAUCAUAAUUUGACGC